UACAGAGGUCUCAAGCGUUGUUCGGAUUCAUUGGGCGUAAAGGGUGUGUAGGUGGCGCCGUAAGUCGGGUGUGAAAUUUCGGAGCUUAACUCCGAAACUGCAUUCGAUACUGCGGUGCUUGAGGACUGGAGAGGAGACUGGAAUUCAUGGUGUAGCAGUGAAAUGCGUAGAUAUCGUAAGGAAGACCAGUGGCGAAGGCGGGUCUCUGGGCCGAUACUGACGCUGAGGAGCGAAAGCGUGGGGAGCGAACAGG
Molecule: ribosomal RNA, 253 nt
Filed under: uncultured bacterium
Lineage: Bacteria
Description: partial 16S ribosomal RNA
Rfam family: Bacterial small subunit ribosomal RNA
Source: RNAcentral